UACGUAGGGACCAAGCGUUGUUCGGAUUUACUGGGCGUAAAGGGCGCGUAGGCGGCAAUUCAAGUCAGCUGUGAAAUCUCCGGGCUUAACUCGGAACGGUCAGCUGAUACUGCUUUGCUAGAGUGCAGAAGGGGCAAUCGGAAUUCUUGGUGUAGCGGUGAAAUGCGUAGAUAUUCGGAGGAACACCAGAAGCGAAGGCGGCCAACUGGCCCGAUACUGACGCUGAGGCGCGAAAGCGUGGGGAGCAAACAGG
This 253-nucleotide ribosomal RNA is filed under the name uncultured bacterium. Its description in RNAcentral is "partial 16S ribosomal RNA". It matches the Rfam family "Bacterial small subunit ribosomal RNA", at positions 524 to 776 of the family's 1533-position model. The record is from RNAcentral.